Molecule: long non-coding RNA, 670 nt
Organism: Salvia miltiorrhiza (redroot sage)
Lineage: Eukaryota; Viridiplantae; Streptophyta; Magnoliopsida; Lamiales; Lamiaceae
Exons: 3
Source: RefSeq, a predicted model, not a curated record
CUAUAUUGGGCCUUAUGUGUAUUUUAUUUAUAUAUUUUUCCUUGGGCUGAAAUUUAAGCCCAUAACAUUUUAUAAAAUCAAGGCAAUACGUGUUUUUCUUCCUUAGCCAAGAUAUGUAUUAAAUUUUAACCACAAAUUCUAAGCUUAUUUCCAUCAGCCACGUGAUCUGAUUUAUGCUACAGCCACGUUUCAUCUCAAACUUUCUUGAGCUGCAAGCACCAUUUCAAGCCUUCUUAUUUAAAACAUCAGCCUUUAUCACCUCUGUUUUCCACCGCCUCAAUUUUUCCAAUGUUAAAUUCUUUCAUUUUCUGAAAAUAACUCAAAAACCCAGCAAUCAACUUCUUGUUUCUGCUGCUUUCGAUUCAAGUGGUGCGGCGCGACUAGGAACGUGAACUUUAAAUUCUCGCAGUCAAUUUCAAAGUUCAAGUUACAGGUAACUAAGGUUGGAGACGCGUGGAGGAUCGAAUGGGCGCGUCACGUAUAUAUAUAUUUUGAAAAAUAUGAUGGCGUAGUUACAUCUAGCCUUUUGCUUUGUAUGGUUUCAAAGUCUAAAACUACUUUUGAGUUUUGAUAUAACUUAUCAUAUUAGCUUUUCCUCCAUGGCUGGCCUUCUUUUAAAGUUAUUUCAAAUAUUUUAUUUAGGAAUUUAUUUCUUUGAAUUUCUUUAUAA